UAGCGAUAUGAAGAAAGAUGCCAGUUUUUUUGUUUUUGUUUUGAUCUCGCAUUUAACUUCUCUGUGCCAUUUUUGUCUUCUUCUCCCCUCUCCCCUUCAAAGAUGAUGAACCAGUUGGGCAAAUGAAAACAAAUUCAACAAACAACCACAAGGACAAAAACAUUCGCCAGAGGAAUACGAAAUAAGCAAUUUACUCAAAUGAGAUGGCUAAACUGCAUUUUUUUGACUACGUGAAGGUGUCAGAGGUGGAUGGAGCUCUGGGCAGUUUUGAAAAAAGCAUAUCUUGUCUCAUUUUAUGAGAAACAAUAUCAGCAUAACACUGGCAACAAAAAGAACAUAAUGGCUGUCUUAAGCAUGCCUUAUUCAGUCUUAAGUGGAGAUUUCAGGAUGAAGAAUAAUGACUAAAACCACCACAGAGGUGUACACAUUUUUAAUGUGCUGUUGAUGUCUCCUUUCUUGAUUUUAUCAUGUCCUCAAAUGAGGUGAUCCCUUUUGUAUUACAUAUCAUGUAAAAUGCAUGCAAGAUAAUUACAACGCAAUAGGAUACUCAGAAUAGACAUUUUCUGUUGUUAUCCCUCGUGUGGCUUUUUUGCAUCCAAAAUUACCUUUUUUAUGGAGUCAUCCUUGCAUAUACAUAUACACAUAUAUGUAUAUAUAUAUACAC
Long non-coding RNA from Pundamilia nyererei, 664 nucleotides. RefSeq lists it as uncharacterized. The transcript is spliced from 3 exons. NCBI's taxonomy places the organism in Eukaryota, Metazoa, Chordata, Actinopteri, Cichliformes, Cichlidae. The record is from RefSeq and is a predicted model, not a curated record.